AACGUAGGACGCAAGCGUUAUCCGGAGUUACUGGGCGUAAAGCGCGGGCAGGCGGCCUCGCAAGUCUGAUGUGAAAGCACGCUGCUCAACAGAGUGAUGCCAUUGGAAACUACGAGGCUGGAGUCUGGCAGAGGUAGGCGGAAUUCCGGGUGGAGUGGUGAAAUGCGUAGAGAUCCGGAGGAACACCAGAGGCGAAGGCGGCCUACUGGGCCAGUACUGACGCUGAGCCGCGAAAGCUAGGGGAGCGAACGGG
This 253-nucleotide ribosomal RNA is filed under the name uncultured bacterium. Its description in RNAcentral is "partial 16S ribosomal RNA". It matches the Rfam family "Bacterial small subunit ribosomal RNA", at positions 524 to 776 of the family's 1533-position model. The record is from RNAcentral.